RNAcentral lists this ribosomal RNA (237 nucleotides) under uncultured bacterium. RNAcentral's name for it is "partial 16S ribosomal RNA". It matches the Rfam family "Bacterial small subunit ribosomal RNA", at positions 96 to 334 of the family's 1533-position model. The record is from RNAcentral.
CGGCGGACGGGUGAGUACGCGUGGGUAACCUACCCUGUACACACGGAUAACAUACCGAAAGGUAUGCUAAUACGGGAUAAUAUAUUUGAGAGGCAUCUCUUAAAUAUCAAAGGUGAGCCAGUACAGGAUGGACCCGCGUCUGAUUAGCUAGUUGGUAAGGUAACGGCUUACCAAGGCGACGAUCAGUAGCCGACCUGAGAGGGUGAUCGGCCACAUUGGAACUGAGACACGGUCCAA